UACGGAGGAUCCGAGCGUUAUCCGGAUUUAUUGGGUUUAAAGGGUGCGCAGGCGGGAAAUUAAGUCGGCGGUGAAAUUUUGCGGCUCAACCGUAAAAGUGCCUUCGAAACUGGUUUCCUUGAGUGUGGAUGAAGUAGGCGGAAUUUGUGGUGUAGCGGUGAAAUGCUUAGAUAUCACGAGGAACUCCGAUUGCGCAGGCAGCUCACAAAGCCAAGAUUGACGCUGAGGCACGAAAGUGUGGGGAUCAAACAGGAUUAGAUACCCGCGUAGUCCCUGA
RNAcentral lists this ribosomal RNA (277 nucleotides) under uncultured prokaryote. Its description in RNAcentral is "partial 16S ribosomal RNA". It matches the Rfam family "Bacterial small subunit ribosomal RNA", at positions 524 to 800 of the family's 1533-position model. The record is from RNAcentral.